This 398-nucleotide ribosomal RNA is filed under the name Mortierella globalpina. Its description in RNAcentral is "eukaryotic LSU rRNA". It matches the Rfam family "Eukaryotic large subunit ribosomal RNA", at positions 109 to 502 of the family's 3401-position model. The record is from RNAcentral. Lineage: Eukaryota; Fungi; Mortierellomycota; Mortierellomycetes; Mortierellales; Mortierellaceae.
UCAAAUUUAAAAUCUGGCUGGUUUACUAGUCCGAAUUGUAGUUUAAAGAAGCGUUUUCGGUGGCAGCCUGGGUAUAAAUCCUUUGGAAUAGGGUAUCAUAGAGGGUGAGAAUCCCGUCUUUGACUCAGUGCAUGCUACUAUGUGAUACGUUUUCAAAGAGUCGAGUUGUUUGGGAAUGCAGCUCAAAAUGGGUGGUAAAUUUCAUCUAAAGCUAAAUAUUGGCGAGAGACCGAUAGCGAACAAGUACCGUGAGGGAAAGAUGAAAAGAACUUUGAAAAGAGAGUUAAACAGUGCGUGAAAUUGUUGAAAGGGAAACGCUUGACACCAGUCAUGCGAGCGGAAAAUCAGUCUUUUGCAAUGGGGAGUGUGGGGGGGUUCGAACCGCAGGGUCGGCUUGC